RNAcentral lists this ribosomal RNA (397 nucleotides) under bacterium enrichment culture. RNAcentral's name for it is "bacterial SSU rRNA". It matches the Rfam family "Bacterial small subunit ribosomal RNA", at positions 521 to 916 of the family's 1533-position model. The record is from RNAcentral.
UAAAACGUAGGAGGCGAGCGUUAUCCGGAUUCACUGGGUGUAAAGCGCGUGCAGGCGGUUCGGUAAGUUGGGCGUGAAAUCUCCUGGCUCAACUAGGAGAGGUCGUUCAAUACUACCGGACUUGAGAGUGGUAGAGGAAGAUGGAAUUCCCGGUGUAGUGGUGAAAUGCGUAGAUAUCGGGAGGAACACCAGUGGCGAAGGCGAUCUUCUGGACCAUUUCUGACGCUCAGACGCGACAGCUAGGGUAGCAAACGGGAUUAGAGACCCCGGUAGUCCUAGCCGUAAACGAUGUGAACUUGGCGUCGGUGGCUUAAACACCAUCGGUGCCGCAGCAAACGCGAUAAGUUCACCACCUGGGGACUACGGCCGCAAGGUUAAAACUCAAAUGAAUUGACGG